Long non-coding RNA from Anas platyrhynchos (mallard), 1707 nucleotides. RefSeq lists it as uncharacterized. Lineage: Eukaryota; Metazoa; Chordata; Aves; Anseriformes; Anatidae. The record is from RefSeq and is a predicted model, not a curated record.
GAUCCGGGACCGCCCCCCCCCAAAAAAAAUAACCUCGGGGUUGGGGCUCACCGGUGUCGCCCCGUCGGAGGUGGGGAACCCACGGGGCCGGCCCUAUUGAGGGGCUUUUGCUGUGCCCGGCCCCGCUCCCCAUUGCGGGGAGCCCUUUGCGGGGUCGCACCCGCAGCGCUGAGACCCCCGAGCGGGGUCCCGGGAUGCGGAGGGGGGGGAUCUGGCCCCAUUGUCAGCCCUGCCCCAGCUUGGGGCUGUAGGGCGGCACGGAGGGGGGAUGCCGGCCCCGGGGCCGGUAGGGCAGAGCUGCCCCCGGGGGGGUCUCUGCUUGCGCCCCCCCAGCCGCCGGCACCGCACGGCCGCCGCGGGAUCGUUACGCCCCGCUGCUGCGGGAAGGAAACGAAAAGAAAGAAACAGGGAGCGGGACCGGCACCGGGAAACGAAAAAUAACAACCCCGGGCUGCUGGAAACGAAUAAUAAUGCACAAGUGGGGAAUGAGCGUAAAUCAGCCCCUCCUGUGCUCCCUCGUUAAGUUACACGUGGGCAGGCUGAGGCACAAGGGGCUGUUCCCCUCCUGCUGUUGGCACAGGGCUCUUGGGCUGCCUGUGGUCCGUGUGUCCCUGUCACAUCACCCAGCCCGGACGGACUGGACACACAGAACUGCCUGGAUGAAGUUUCCAGGCCAAACACCAGGCACCCAUCAGAGGGUCCUGGCCAUGCUGAAGGGACACCGAGAUGAGCUGUGAUCCCGCAGGAGAUGUCCGGGCAGCACCCAGGUACCCGGGAUCCGACCUGGCUGGCGCUCAGUUAAUGCCCCCUUCAUAAAUUCCUGCGCUGUGCGUCACCGCCGUGUUUGUGAAGGGCUCGGUGGACACCUCGGGAGAUGGGCAGGUCGGGAUCAAAGCUGGAAUCUGAGGAGAUAACGUGGCUGCUGCUGCCCCGUGCCCCAUGAGGAGGGCAGUGACCCUCACCCUCCACAGCUCAGCCGGGUGCUGCUGGGCACCUGCUGAGGAAGCAGAGGCAGUUUUGGAGAUGGAUCCCCCUCUGACAGCCAUCCCAAACCCACGGCUGUGCCACGUGCGUCCCUGUGCCCAGCCGGGCAGGAGUUUUCUGAGCUGAUGCCUGGGUUUCUGAUGAGCUGGUGGAGGGAGGAACGGGGGCUCUGCAGCAGUGCCGUGAGGACAGUGGCUGAGGACCUUUCCUGUUAAUGCCCCCCUGCACCGCUCCAAGCCUUUACUCCCAGCUGCAAACCUCUGGGUUUGAUUGCCGCUGCGGUGCUGGGAGAAGCAGUAAAAGCCAAACCCUGGAGGGGGGGACAAUAAAGCGAGCGGAGAGGAGAUAAGCAGGGAUCAAACACGGCGCGGGAGCCACCCCACGCCGGCCUCUCAAAGGCCCCUUUGUUCCCCAGCCUCCUGCUCGGGCCGAGGGCGAGCUAUCAGCCCUGCGCGGGGCACACGGAGCCCUGCACCGCAGCCCUCGGCGGUUGGGCAGACACCUGCGUGUCCCGGCAAUAAAAGGAGCUUUAAUUCCAGUCCCAGGGCUGAUCCCAGUUGCACACCGAGGCCCGAUAACGUAUCUGGCCGGGCAAUAAAGCCAUUAUUGGGGCGGGAGGCGAUGGAAGAGGCGCUCGCCUUCCUCCUCCUCGCACCGGGCUCGCCGAGGGGGUGCCCCCAUCGCCGCUGCACCCCCGACCCCAUCCCCAUCCCGCUGUCUGUC